GAUGAACGCUGGCGGCGUGCCUAAUACAUGCGAGUCGAGCGAACGGACGAGAAGCUUGCUUCUCUGAUGUUAGCGGCGGACGGGUGAGUAACACGUGGAUAACCUACCUAUAAGACUGGGAUAACUUCGGGAAACCGGAGCUAAUACCGGAUAAUAUUUUGAACCGCAUGGUUCAAAAGUGAAAGACGGUCUUGCUGUCACUUAUAGAUGGAUCCGCGCUGCAUUAGCUAGUUGGUAAGGUAACGGCUUACCAAGGCAACGAUGCAUAGCCGACCUGAGAGGGUGAUCGGCCACACUGGAACUGAGACACGGUCCAGACUCCUACGGGAGGCAGCAGUAGGGAAUCUUCCGGAAUGGGCGAAAGCCUGACGGAGCAACGCCGCGUGAGUGAUGAAGGUCUUCGGAUCGUAAAACUCUGUUAUUAGGGAAGAACAUAUGUGUAAGUAACUGUGCACAUCUUGACGGUACCUAAUCAGAAAGCCACGGCUAACUACGUG
RNAcentral lists this ribosomal RNA (497 nucleotides) under uncultured bacterium. Its description in RNAcentral is "partial 16S ribosomal RNA". It matches the Rfam family "Bacterial small subunit ribosomal RNA", at positions 28 to 507 of the family's 1533-position model. The record is from RNAcentral.